AGUAAUUUAGUGGCGAACGGGUGCGUAACACGUGGGCAAUCUGCCUUAAAGUGGGGGAUAGCUCGGCGAAAGCCGAAUUAAUACCGCAUGUGAUCAGGGGAGACAUCUUCCCAAAAUCAAAGGUGGCGCAAGCUACCGCUUUUAGAGGAGCCCGUGGCCUAUCAGCUAGUUGGUGAGGUAACGGCUCACCAAGGCUCUGACGGGUAGCUGGUCUGAGAGGACGACCAGUCACACUGGAACUGAGACACGGUCCAGACACCUACGGGUGGCAGCAGUCGAGAAUUUUUCUCAAUGGGGGAAACCCUGAAGGAGCGACGCCGCGUGGAGGAUGAAGGUCUUCGGGUUGUAAACUCCUGUCAUUUGGGAACAAUGCUACCGAGUUAACUGUUCGGUAGUUGAUAGUACCAGAAGAGGAAGAGACGGCUAACUCUGUGCCAGCAGCCGCGGUAAUACAGAGGUCUCAAG
RNAcentral lists this ribosomal RNA (465 nucleotides) under uncultured Verrucomicrobiota bacterium. RNAcentral describes it as "bacterial SSU rRNA". It matches the Rfam family "Bacterial small subunit ribosomal RNA", at positions 86 to 538 of the family's 1533-position model. The record is from RNAcentral. Lineage: Bacteria; Pseudomonadati; Verrucomicrobiota.